AUAUAUAUAUGCAACCAUGAAAUGCAUAUUUAGAAUAUAAAAGCAUUUGGCAUAUUAUUUCAAAGCACAUUUUCCUUAAAAAAAAAGUAUUUCUGGGAAAUAUACCAAGUAUAUAAAUAUAUAUUGAAAACAAAAGCCCACUCACUGGUAUGUCGACGGGUCGUAACCCUCGAGUCGCCUGUGGAUACGCUUGUCCUCGGGAUAGGCCUCACCUAUAUGCGAAUUAACUAUAAAAACGUUAUUUUAAAGCACAUAGACAAAACUAGCUA
Molecule: long non-coding RNA, 269 nt
Filed under: Malus domestica (apple)
Lineage: Eukaryota; Viridiplantae; Streptophyta; Magnoliopsida; Rosales; Rosaceae
Description: long non-coding RNA (MDOM_LNC002269)
Source: RNAcentral